This is a non-coding RNA of Electrophorus electricus (electric eel), 3048 nucleotides long. NCBI's taxonomy places the organism in Eukaryota, Metazoa, Chordata, Actinopteri, Gymnotiformes, Gymnotidae. The record is from RefSeq and is a predicted model, not a curated record.
CUUCGUUUUGUCUGUGUGUAUUUAAACUCACGUCAGGGUGUGCAUCGUUGUUGGUCAUUGUCGAUGUAACGUUUUAAUGUUUCUUCGUCAUUGUGAAAGCGUUUGCGUGUUCAUCGUGUUUGUUUAAAUGUCACUCGUUUCAUGUUCAUGUUAUCGUUUGCAAUACGUUUGAGUGCCGCUAUCAUUUAUGUAAUACAUGUUCGUCCCUGUCGAGGAAAUCUGCGCUUCCUGCUCCACGCCCUGCGGCACUCAGGCCACCACGCGUUACAAGUAGAUCAUUCUGAGAAAAUGUAGUUAUGUACUAUCCACCUCUGAAUAUGAAAUAUAUAUACAUAUAUAUGUAGCAACAUCAAAAUAAAUAGGCUAAUUAGCCUAAAUACAUACGAUCCAAUUAAACAAUAUUAUUACUUCAUGGGAUACAGUACAUGCUUUAUUUAUUUUUAUGUAUGCAUUUGUUUGUGCCUGAAGGUUUCCUGUAUGUGAGAGGCUGUGAUUGAUAUUCUCUCCCCAGUCCCAUUUUUUGUAAAAUUCUGCAGCUUUUCAUAGCACAAAGUGCAACAUCCUACAACAUAUUCACUAUAUUGUUUCAAGAGCAUUCAUAAGCACACAAACACGUGAGCUGAAGUGGAGUAUCAACAGGAGGGUGUGCUGAUUAAACGUCGCAUCUCAUGGACCAUCAGCUAUGAGGUGUACACUUCUCAUAUCCUUUGCUUGGGUCUCCAUAUGCUGGAGACCAAUAUAGAUUAAGUGAGCCAUCAGCCAGUGUAAGAACUUAAAGCAGCCAAGUGAACAGGUGUUGCUAAUUGCUCCUGAUUACUGUGAAGUGGCCCUGUGUCUUCCUCUGUUGACUGAAGAUGGCCUUGCUGGCGACCCAGUUUCUUUCAAGGUAAGCAGCCUAUUAAUUUAAGCAUUAGUCCUAUUCCAUUCUGCGCAUUAUUCUCUAUUAGUGUAAGCUUAGCAUUCAUUUAAUUUUAUGCAACCCCACAAUAUCCGUACAUAUAAUACGGAUGUAAUAAUAUACAAUAACAUUCCAAUGAGUAUAAUUUUCAGUCAAAGUAAUUCUCUCAACACGUCUGUGUUCGUACUAAUAAGUACAGGAAAACCAGACAGCGAUGAUUUCAGUAUGUAGUUUGCCUACGGGUGUGACGUUGAGAUGCGCUCAAGUAUCCUCGCUGUCUGCUUUUGUUCCCACAGUCCCACACUUGGCUACAUGGAAAGUGAGAGGCAGAGCGAGACACUACGCUUCGUUGCCAUGUUGUGUAAAUGUACUAUUAUGUGCGCACUGGUCGUGCAUGAGCUUUGUAUUUACCAGUUUUCUUUCAACAUCUUGAAUCUAUGUUAAUAUUAUGCGAGCUCACAUGUAACCAAAGCCUGUGAUCUGAAAUGCUGAAAUAAGCGUUUCAGAUUAGUCACCUGCAAAAAUGUUCCUUCAGACAUUACAGACCGUAACCUUCUUAAGGACACACACAUGCCUUACUUUGUAAUAUCACUGCAACGCCACUGAAUAACGUGACUGUUCCAGUUAGACGCACAAAGCUCUUUCUUCUAAGAUUCUAACGCAUCCUGUGUCCUGACAUUUGAUAUACAGGAGACACUACGUCCUGUCUAUCCAGUUUGGUGUAUUUUACAUUUUAAUAAGGCAAAUAUGAGGAGGAGUGAAUAGCUAUAUUCCUAAAUCGCUGUGAAGCAUACUGAACGAACUUCAGGUGAAGAAUUUCACUUUGAUAUAGCUGCAGAAACAAGGGCAGCAAUUCCAGACAUCACUAUAACCCAACACACACAGGGUAGUACAUGCAUACCUGAAUGUGUGUUUUCCCCUCCAAAUGUCUCCUGCCCUUUUGCUUGUUUUGUUGUUCUUAGUCUCCCUCCAUCUUUGCUCAAAGGUCAAUCAUUGCUAAUCCCUUAAUGCUCAUCACAUUUAUUUGACAACAGAUUUGCGGUUCCAGAUUCAAGACUUAUCAUCAGGCACACACAUUUCUAGUAAAACGUGCGCACACACCUUAAAUGAAAUCCUUACGUUGCUAGUCCUCCAGACACCAACAAGACGCAAUCAAAAGGAAGACUAAAUAGUUCAGUAAUAGUGGUAGUGUAUGUGUAGAGUCCAACCUUCACUGUGUGUGCGCGGUGGAGGCAGUAAAGGGGAAUGAGCAAGGGUUGGAAGUCAUUCUAAAGCCUAACAGUUUUGGGUCAAAGCUUCUUGUUUUCUGGACUUCCCACCCCUGCGUUAUCUGCCCCUGCUCGUAGCCAGCUAUGUAGUCACUCAGGUCCGGACCCUGGAAGUUUUAUAGAGCUUAAACUGAAACCAAUUCUUAAUCAUCCAUAUUUCUACUUGACUGACUAGCCCUGCUUGAUUCAUUUUUAAAAACUUGCAAAGAUAAGAUGUUUAUGGUAACACUGUGACUCCUUUCUCAUUUUACAGUGAUGCUGCAGUCAGGGUAAUGUUAGCUUGUUUUCGAUGCUAAGGAAACUGAUUUAGUUUUAUAUCACCAAAACAACAACAACAACAACAACAAAACCCCCAUAAGAUGUAACCUCACAGUUUAGCCACAUUAUUCAGAUGAAAACUACGUGGUUGAUGAUCCAAGUUCUGAAUGCACAUAAGCAAGCAUUUUUUCAGAGAUUGCAGCACUACAUACAGAAGUCUGAGGCAGCUUCAUGUUCCAGCAGUUAGCCAUACACAACCCAGCAUCACACAGAAUGCUCAAAUAUCAUAUCAGUAUCAUAUUUCCAACAUGGAUAUGCAUGAUCAUAUGAUACUGUCAUAGUUUCUCUGUGCAACUUGCUUUCUCUGUGAAAUUAGAAGCCUGCAUAGACAAAUCUUGUCAAGUAGUGCUUGUCUUUGGAUGUACUCACACUAGGCGAUCUGAAUUUGAAUAUUGAGGUUUCACUACACUGUACUAUAUAAGGAUUAUAGUAAAUUAAUUUUAUUUGUGGUUAAUUUUAUUUUACAGGUUUGUAUUGCUUUUUUUUUUAGUUAUAGUGAAUUGUUUUAUAGUAUUUCUUAUUUCUGUUACCUUAGAGCCAUAUUAAAGUGACAGUUGCCUUAUA